This 559-nucleotide ribosomal RNA is filed under the name uncultured Gammaproteobacteria bacterium. RNAcentral describes it as "bacterial SSU rRNA". It matches the Rfam family "Bacterial small subunit ribosomal RNA", at positions 74 to 630 of the family's 1533-position model. The record is from RNAcentral. Lineage: Bacteria; Pseudomonadati; Pseudomonadota; Gammaproteobacteria.
GCGGGGCAACCUGGCGGCGAGCGGCGAACGGGUGAGUAACACAUCGGAACGUACCCUGUUGUGGGGGAUAGCCCGGCGAAAGCCGGAUUAAUACCGCAUAAGACCUGAGGGUGAAAGCGGGGGACCGCAAGGCCUCGCGCGACAGGAGCGGCCGAUGGCGGAUUAGCUAGUUGGUGGGGUAAAGGCUCACCAAGGCGACGAUCCGUAGCUGGUCUGAGAGGAUGAUCAGCCACACUGGAACUGAGACACGGUCCAGACUCCUACGGGAGGCAGCAGUGGGGAAUUUUGGACAAUGGGGGCAACCCUGAUCCAGCCAUUCCGCGUGAGUGAAGAAGGCCUUCGGGUUGUAAAGCUCUUUCGGCAGGAACGAAACGGUGGGCUCUAACAUAGUCUGCUAAUGACGGUACCUGAAGAAGAAGCACCGGCUAACUACGUGCCAGCAGCCGCGGUAAUACGUAGGGUGCGAGCGUUAAUCGGAAUUACUGGGCGUAAAGCGUGCGCAGGCGGUUUCGUAAGACAGAUGUGAAAUCCCCGGGCUUAACCUGGGAACUGCGUUUGU